AAAAUCUCAACUUUAUUAGAAGAGGCGCAUUUAUUAGAUAAAGCCAAUGCAUGCUUUUACAGUAUGGAAAUUGGUGAUUUAUAAUAACUUAGCAAAUCGCAAAGUGAAAACAGGCGAUAAAUCAUUCAAGUUUCUGACCUAUCAGCUUUCGACGGUAUGGUAUUGGCUUACCGUGGCAGUGACGGUUAACGGGGGAUUAGGGUUCGAUUCCGGAGAGGGAGCCUGAGAAACGGCUACCACAUCUAAGGAAGGCAGCAGGCGCGCAAAUUACCCAAUUCUAACAGUUUAAGAGAGGUAGUAACAAGAAAUAACAAUACAAGGCAAUUAAAAUGCUUUGUAAUUGGAAUGAUAGAAAUUUAAACCCUUUUUAAAGUAUCAAUUGGAGGGCAAGUCUGGUGCCAGCAGCCGCGGUAAUUCCAGCUCCAAUAGCGUAUAUUAAAAUUGUUGCAGUUAAAAAGCUCGUAGUUGAAGUUCUGCUAAAAGUAACCGGUCUGCUUUUAAUAAAAGUGGUAUCUUGGUGUGUAUUUAGCAAUGAUGUCCUUUGAAGUGUUUUUUACUUUAUUGUAAUAAAGCAUAUUCAGGACUUUUACUUUGAGAAAAUUAGAGUGUUUCUAGCAGGCCAACGCUUUGAAUACUGCAGCAUG
This 644-nucleotide ribosomal RNA is filed under the name Hepatozoon canis. RNAcentral's name for it is "SSU rRNA". It matches the Rfam family "Eukaryotic small subunit ribosomal RNA", at positions 174 to 811 of the family's 1831-position model. Lineage: Eukaryota; Apicomplexa; Hepatozoidae. The record is from RNAcentral.